AGCAAUUAUACCGUGAAACUGCGAAUGGCUCAUUAAAUCAGUUAUCGUUUAUUUGAUAAUACCUUACUACUUGGAUAACCGUGGUAAUUCUAGAGCUAAUACAUGCUGAAAAUCCCGACUUCGGAAGGGAUGUGUUUAUUAGAUAAAAAACCAAUGCCCUUCGGGGCUUUUUGGUGAUUCAUGAUAACUUUACGGAUCGCAUAGCCUUGCGCUGGCGACGGUUCAUUCAAAUUUCUGCCCUAUCAACUUUCGAUGGUAAGGUAUUGGCUUACCAUGGUUUCAACGGGUAACGGGGAAUUAGGGUUCGAUUCCGGAGAGGGAGCCUGAGAAACGGCUACCACAUCCAAGGAAGGCAGCAGGCGCGCAAAUUACCCAAUCCCGACACGGGGAGGUAGUGACAAUAAAUACUGAUACAGGGCUCUUUUGGGUCUUGUAAUUGGAAUGAGUACAAUUUAAACCUCUUAACGAGGAACAAUUGGAGGGCAAGUCUGGUGCCAGCAGCCGCGGUAAUUCCAGCUCCAAUAGCGUAUAUUAAAGUUGUUGCAGUUAAAAAGCUCGUAGUUGAAACUUGGGCCUGGCUGGCGGGUCCGCCUCACCGCGUGCACUCGUCCGGCCGGGCCUUCCUUCUGAAGAACCUCAUGCCCUUCACUGGGCGUGUUGGGGAAUCAGGACUUUUACUUUGAAAAAAUUAGAGUGUUCAAAGCAGGCCUUUGCUCGAAUACGUUAGCAUGGAAUAAUAAAAUAGGGCGUGCGUUUCUAUUUUGUUGGUUUCUAGAGACGCCGCAAUGAUUAACAGGAACAGUCGGGGGCAUCAGUAUUCAGUUGUCAGAGGUGAAAUUCUUGGAUUUACUGAAGACUAACUACUGCGAAAGCAUUUGCCAAGGAUGUUUUCAUUAAUCAGUGAACGAAAGUUAGGGGAUCGAAGACGAUCAGAUACCGUCGUAGUCUUAACCGUAAACUAUGCCGACUAGGGAUCGGGCGAUGUUCUUUUUCUGACUCGCUCGGCACCUUACGAGAAAUCAAAGUUUUUGGGUUCUGGGGGGAUUAUGGUCGCAAGGCUGAAACUUAAAG
This 1071-nucleotide ribosomal RNA is filed under the name Curvularia eragrostidis. RNAcentral's name for it is "SSU rRNA". It matches the Rfam family "Eukaryotic small subunit ribosomal RNA", at positions 68 to 1149 of the family's 1831-position model. The record is from RNAcentral. Lineage: Eukaryota; Fungi; Ascomycota; Dothideomycetes; Pleosporales; Pleosporaceae.